RNAcentral lists this ribosomal RNA (665 nucleotides) under Clostridioides difficile. RNAcentral's name for it is "bacterial LSU rRNA". It matches the Rfam family "Bacterial large subunit ribosomal RNA", at positions 268 to 937 of the family's 2925-position model. The record is from RNAcentral. Lineage: Bacteria; Bacillati; Bacillota; Clostridia; Peptostreptococcales; Peptostreptococcaceae.
CCCAAACCAAUAAAGUUUUCUUUAUUGGGGUUGCGGACAUAUCAUAACGAAGAGGUAUCGUAAUUGAAGAGGUUUGGAAAGACCCACCACAGAAGGUAAUAGUCAUGUAUGUUAAACGAGAAGACUUCAGAUAUGAUCCAGAGUACCACGGGACACGUGAAACCCUGUGGGAAGCAGGAGGGACCACCCUCCAAGGCUAAAUACUACCUAGUGACCGAUAGCGUAUAGUACCGUGAGGGAAAGGUGAAAAGAACCCCGGGAGGGGAGUGAAAUAGAACCUGAAACCCUGCACUUACAAGCUGUGGAAGCACAUUUCUUGUGUGACCGCGUACUUUUUGUAGAACGGGCCAACGAGUUACGUUAAGUAGCAAGGUUAAGCACUUAAGGUGCGGAGCCGUAGCGAAAGCGAGUUUUAACUGAGCGUUCAGUUACUUGACGUAGACCCGAAACCGGGCGACCUACCCAUGAGCAGGACGAAGCGAAAGUAAAAUUUCGUGGAGGUCCGAACCCACGGGCGUUGAAAAGCUCGGGGAUGACUUGUGGGUAGCGGUGAAAUUCCAAUCGAGCCCGGAGAUAGCUGGUUCUCCCCGAAAUAGCUUUAGGGCUAGCCUCAAGGUGAGAGAUACGGAGGUAGAGCACUGAAUGUCCUAGGGGGUAUUGCACCU